AUGCGGCAGGCGUCGUUCUUCACCGGCACGUCGACGGGGCCACGGCGGCCACGUGAGCCCCGAGCGGCUCCCCAGGCGCGCGGGCGUACGCGGGUGCGCGGCCUGACACCCACGCCGUCGCUGUCGCCGUCGCCAUCUCCAUCGCCACCCCCACCUCCUCGCAUGACGGUGGAGAAGGCCCGACUCAUGACGUGUGCGCUAGAGGACUCCAUGCACACGCACGAUGAGGGCCAAUGGGAGGGCCUCGAGGAGAUGAUGGCCCUCUCCGCGGCCGGCGAUGUCGCCAUCCCCGAGGUGGAGAUGGUGCCGAAGGAGGAGGUGGUGGAGCCGCCGGUGGCCGCGUUCCAACCCUGGCCUGGUGGGCCAGGGAUGGAGCUGGUUGUGCACCGCUGA
RNAcentral lists this ribosomal RNA (393 nucleotides) under Triticum aestivum (bread wheat). Its description in RNAcentral is "partial small subunit ribosomal RNA". Lineage: Eukaryota; Viridiplantae; Streptophyta; Magnoliopsida; Poales; Poaceae. The record is from RNAcentral.